RNAcentral lists this ribosomal RNA (267 nucleotides) under Triticum aestivum (bread wheat). RNAcentral describes it as "partial small subunit ribosomal RNA". The record is from RNAcentral. Lineage: Eukaryota; Viridiplantae; Streptophyta; Magnoliopsida; Poales; Poaceae.
AUGGGGCUCCACGUGCUGGUGGCGUUCGCGGCGGCGAGGGGCUUCGCGCAGGUGCUCCACGUCUCGGCGCGGCUGCUGUGGCCGCUCAACCCCUGCCCCCCGCUCGCCCGCCACCUGCCGGAGGCCUGCGCCGUCGUCUGCGGCGCGCUCGCCGCCCACCUCGCCUGGCUGCGCCGCGCCUACGCGCGCGGUGGCACCGUCUGGGGCCUCCGAAGCCGCGACGACGACGACGUCCUCCGCCAGGCGCUGCUCGACGUCUUCUACUGA